GAUGAACGCUGGCGGCGUGCCUAAUACAUGCAAGUCGAGCGAACGGACGAGAAGCUUGCUUCUCUGAUGUUAGCGGCGGACGGGUCAGUAACACGUGGAUAACCUACCUAUAAGACUGGGAUAACUUCGGGAAACCGGAGCUAAUACCGGAUGAUAUUUUGAACCGCAUGGUUCAAAAGUGAAAGACGGUCUUGCUGUCACUUAUAGAUGGAUCCGCGCUGCAUUAGCUAGUUGGUAAGGUAACGGCUUACCAAGGCAACGAUGCAUAGCCGACCUGAGAGGGUGAUCGGCCACACUGGAACUGAGACACGGUCCAGACUCCUACGGGAGGCAGCAGUAGGGAAUCUUCCGCAAUGGGCGAAAGCCUGACGGAGCAACGCCGCGUGAGUGAUGAAGGUCUUCGGAUCGUAAAACUCUGUUAUUAGGGAAGAACAUAUGUGUAAGUAACUGUGCACAUCUUGACGGUACCUAAUCAGAAAGCCACGGCUAACUACGUG
This 497-nucleotide ribosomal RNA is filed under the name uncultured bacterium. Its description in RNAcentral is "partial 16S ribosomal RNA". It matches the Rfam family "Bacterial small subunit ribosomal RNA", at positions 28 to 507 of the family's 1533-position model. The record is from RNAcentral.